AGUGAACGCUGGCGGUAGGCCUAACACAUGCGAGUCGAACGGCAGCACAGUAAGAGCUUGCUCUUACGGGUGGCGAGUGGCGGACGGGUGAGGAGUACAUCGGAAUCUACUUUUUCGUGGGGGAUAACGUAGGGAAACUUACGCUAAUACCGCAUACGACCUACGGGUGAAAGCAGGGGAUCUUCGGACCUUGCGCGAUUGAAUGAGCCGAUGUCGGAUUAGCUAGUUGGCGGGGUAAAGGCCCACCAAGGCGACGAUCCGUAGCUGGUCUGAGAGGAUGAUCAGCCACACUGGAACUGAGACACGGUCCAGACUCCUACGGGAGGCAGCAGUGGGGAAUAUUGGACAAUGGGCGCAAGCCUGAUCCAGCCAUACCGCGUGGGUGAAGAAGGCCUUCGGGUUGUAAAGCCCUUUUGUUGGGAAAGAAAAGCAGCAGGUUAAUACCCCGCUGUUCUGACGGUACCCAAAGAAUAAGCACCGGCUAACUUCGUG
Molecule: ribosomal RNA, 492 nt
Filed under: uncultured bacterium
Lineage: Bacteria
Description: partial 16S ribosomal RNA
Rfam family: Bacterial small subunit ribosomal RNA
Source: RNAcentral